Molecule: ribosomal RNA, 253 nt
Filed under: uncultured bacterium
Lineage: Bacteria
Description: partial 16S ribosomal RNA
Rfam family: Bacterial small subunit ribosomal RNA
Source: RNAcentral
UACGUAGGAUGCAAGCGUUGUCCGGAAUUAUUGGGCGUAAAGAGCUCGUAGGCGGUCUGUUGCGUCCGCUGUGAAAACUCGGGGCUUAACCCCGAGCCUGCAGUGGAUACGGGCAGACUAGAGGUAGGUAGGGGAGAAUGGAAUUCCUGGUGUAGCGGUGGAAUGCGCAGAUAUCAGGAGGAACACCGGUGGCGAAGGCGGGUCUCUGGGCAGUAACUGACGCUGAGGAGCGAAAGCGUGGGGAGCGAACAGG